ACAAAAGAAGGAACCCCUUGUGAUUGUUGAGUAGUCCAAAUAAGUUCUUCUCAGAUAAUAGCCAGAAGUAAUUUGCUGGUGGAUUUGAGUUUGAGAUCGUUCUUGAAUAUACCCUUUGAUACUAGAGAUGGUUGCUGAAUCUUGGUUUCGUAAUUUCUGGAAAAAUUCGAAAAAGCAUGAGGGUGGUGGUCAUCAAAAGGUGCUAGUUGGUGUUCUAGCAUUUGAAGUUGCAAG
This 234-nucleotide unclassified non-coding RNA is filed under the name Hevea brasiliensis (rubber tree). Lineage: Eukaryota; Viridiplantae; Streptophyta; Magnoliopsida; Malpighiales; Euphorbiaceae. The record is from RNAcentral.